GCAAACAACUUCUACUCUAGGCAAAGUGACUUCCAACAAGACAGGGGUAAAAGAACCUGAGCUAGAGUCCAGACAACCAAAUCUGUUAAAGGUAGAAUAUGGUGAUGGGUGCUGUGCAAGAAGAAGGAGGGAAGAAGGAAGCUGAGUGUGCAGCAAAGACACCUGCAGGGACACAUAGAACCAGGCAUUUGCUGAAGGACACCUGGAUUGCACAACCAGCGGCUAACUUGCAUGAAAAAACAUUCUAGGUGGUUUUGCUUAAUGUUGGUCUCUCCAACUGUGCUACAAGCUCCAUGAGGUGAAGGACCAAGUUAAUUGUGUCUUCCAUGGUAUGUCCCAGUCCUGCCACUUUAGGCAUUUUAAAUAUUUGCUGAAUAUUGUUUGAAUAAAUAAUUUGUGGAGAAUUGGAAGAGAUUUGUGGGAUAAAUAUUUUUAUAUGGCAUGUGGUUGAACCUGCAUAUGCUUUUCUAUUUUAACAAUAUUGUCAUUGGGACUGUAGAAUUUGACUCAUAAACAUCACUUUGCUUUUCUUGGAAUUCUAAUUCAUAUUUACAGUUUCAAAUGUCACCUCUCUUUUAAGUUCCACGUCAACAUAUUUGCCUAAUCCUUGGAUGUCCUGCCAUUUGAACUUGAAAUGUCUAAAAUCUAAUUUGUCAUUUUUUAAAACUGACUCAAAUAAUAAUCUCACGUGUUUCCUAUGUUCUAGGUCAGAAAAUUGUACACAACUUAAAUUUUUCCUUUUGCUUCCUAUGUCUGUUCAUAACUAUAUCUUAUUAGCCAUGAAGUUGUGUUUUUCUGUUCCUUUUUAUAUUUUUUGCAUAUUCAUUUCUUUUCCAUCCCUGUCCUGGAAGCCCUGACUACCUGACAACCACUACAUCCUGGUUCCCUUGGCUUUCCUUUCUCUUCUUUCCAG
RNAcentral lists this long non-coding RNA (913 nucleotides) under Homo sapiens (human). RNAcentral describes it as "non-protein coding lnc-LNPEP-6:3". Lineage: Eukaryota; Metazoa; Chordata; Mammalia; Primates; Hominidae. The record is from RNAcentral.